AUUAAACGCUGGCGGCAUGCCUUACACAUGCAAGUCGAACGGUAACAGGUCUUCGGAUGCUGACGAGUGGCGAACGGGUGAGUAAUACAUCGGAACGUGCCUAGUAGUGGGGGAUAACUACUCGAAAGAGUGGCUAAUACCGCAUGAGAUCUACGGAUGAAAGCAGGGGAUCGCAAGACCUUGUGCUACUAGAGCGGCCGAUGGCAGAUUAGGUAGUUGGUGGGAUAAAAGCUUACCAAGCCGACGAUCUGUAGCUGGUCUGAGAGGACGAUCAGCCACACUGGGACUGAGACACGGCCCAGACUCCUACGGGAGGCAGCAGUGGGGAAUUUUGGACAAUGGGCGAAAGCCUGAUCCAGCAAUGCCGCGUGCAGGAUGAAGGCCUUCGGGUUGUAAACUGCUUAUGUACGGAACGAAAAGCCCCGGGUUAAUACCCUGGGGCCAUGACGGUACCGUAAGAAUAAGCACCGGCUAACUACGUGCCAGCCGCCGCAGUAA
RNAcentral lists this ribosomal RNA (498 nucleotides) under uncultured bacterium. RNAcentral describes it as "partial 16S ribosomal RNA". It matches the Rfam family "Bacterial small subunit ribosomal RNA", at positions 30 to 523 of the family's 1533-position model. The record is from RNAcentral.